This 75-nucleotide transfer RNA is filed under the name uncultured marine group II/III euryarchaeote KM3_149_F06. Its description in RNAcentral is "tRNA-Glu". It matches the Rfam family "tRNA". From Rfam's summary of the family: Transfer RNA (tRNA) molecules are approximately 80 nucleotides in length. Their secondary structure includes four short double-helical elements and three loops (D, anti-codon, and T loops). Lineage: Archaea; Methanobacteriati; Methanobacteriota. The record is from RNAcentral.
GCCGAUGUAGUGUAGUCCGGUCAAGCAUAUCAGGUUUUCAUCCUGGAGACCCGGGUUCAAAUCCCGGCAUCGGCA